Molecule: long non-coding RNA, 162 nt
Organism: Strongylocentrotus purpuratus (purple sea urchin)
Lineage: Eukaryota; Metazoa; Echinodermata; Echinoidea; Camarodonta; Strongylocentrotidae
Exons: 3
Source: RefSeq, a predicted model, not a curated record
AUUCAGUGAAUCCAAUGACCACCGUCACAACCACUGGACAAUCGCAAUCAACCACUGAAAAUCCAACGACCACCGUCACAACCAUUACACCACCGCAACCAACCUCUGUGAAUCCAAUUACCAGGGCCGUCACAAGCAACAAGAGACCGCAACCAAACUUUG